AGGAUAGAAGUUUUAAAACAUUUAAUUUGCACUUAAAAAUCUAUUGUAUCACACAAUCUAUCUUU
RNAcentral lists this transfer RNA (65 nucleotides) under Curculionoidea sp. 15 KM-2017. RNAcentral describes it as "tRNA-Ala". Lineage: Eukaryota; Metazoa; Arthropoda; Insecta; Coleoptera. The record is from RNAcentral.